GGGGGGCAGCUUACCAUGCAAGUCGAGCGGUAACAGAGAGUAGCUUGCUACUUUGCUGACGAGCGGCGGACGGGUGAGUAAUGCUUGGGAAUAUGCCUUAUGGUGGGGGACAACAGUUGGAAACGACUGCUAAUACCGCAUAACGUCUACGGACCAAAGGGGGGGAUCUUCGGACCUCUCGCCAUUUGAUUAGCCCAAGUGAGAUUAGCUAGUUGGUAAGGUAAAGGCUUACCAAGGCGACGAUCUCUAGCUGGUUUGAGAGGAUGAUCAGCCACACUGGGACUGAGACACGGCCCAGACUCCUACGGGAGGCAGCAGUGGGGAAUAUUGCACAAUGGGCGAAAGCCUGAUGCAGCCAUGCCGCGUGUGUGAAGAAGGCCUUCGGGUUGUAAAGCACUUUCAGUUGUGAGGAAAGGGGUGUAGUUAAUAGCUGCAUCCUGUGACGUUAGCAACAGAAGAAGCACCGGCUAACUUCGUGCCAGCAGCCGCGGUAAC
Molecule: ribosomal RNA, 495 nt
Filed under: uncultured Colwellia sp.
Lineage: Bacteria; Pseudomonadati; Pseudomonadota; Gammaproteobacteria; Alteromonadales; Colwelliaceae
Description: bacterial SSU rRNA
Rfam family: Bacterial small subunit ribosomal RNA
Source: RNAcentral